RNAcentral lists this ribosomal RNA (253 nucleotides) under uncultured bacterium. Its description in RNAcentral is "partial 16S ribosomal RNA". It matches the Rfam family "Bacterial small subunit ribosomal RNA", at positions 524 to 776 of the family's 1533-position model. The record is from RNAcentral.
UACAGAGGUCUCAAGCGUUGUUCGGAUUCAUUGGGCGUAAAGGGUGCGCAGGCGGCGUGGAAAGUUGAGUGUGAAAUCCCGGGGCUCAACCCCGGAACUGCACUCAAUACUCCCAUGCUAGAGGAAUGUAGAGGAGAGUGGAAUUCACGGUGUAGCAGUGAAAUGCGUAGAUAUCGUGAGGAAGACCAGUUGCGAAGGCGACUCUCUGGGCAUUUCCUGACGCUCAUGCACGAAGGCCAGGGGAGCAAACGGG